RNAcentral lists this ribosomal RNA (393 nucleotides) under uncultured bacterium. RNAcentral's name for it is "bacterial SSU rRNA". It matches the Rfam family "Bacterial small subunit ribosomal RNA", at positions 28 to 429 of the family's 1533-position model. The record is from RNAcentral.
GACGAACGCUGGCGGCGUGCUUAACACAUGCAAGUCGAACGAUGAACCACUUCGGUGGGGAUUAGUGGCGAACGGGUGAGUAACACGUGGGCAAUCUGCCCUUCACUCUGGGACAAGCCCUGGAAACGGGGUCUAAUACCGGAUAACACUGCCAUGGGCAUCUGUGGUGGUUAAAAGCUCCGGCGGUGAAGGAUGAGCCCGCGGCCUAUCAGCUUGUUGGUGAGGUAAUGGCUCACCAAGGCGACGACGGGUAGCCGGCCUGAGAGGGCGACCGGCCACACUGGGACUGAGACACGGCCCAGACUCCUACGGGAGGCAGCAGUGGGGAAUAUUGCACAAUGGGCGAAAGCCUGAUGCAGCGACGCCGCGUGAGGGAUGACGGCCUGGUGUAAC